RNAcentral lists this ribosomal RNA (468 nucleotides) under uncultured bacterium. Its description in RNAcentral is "partial 16S ribosomal RNA". It matches the Rfam family "Bacterial small subunit ribosomal RNA", at positions 28 to 507 of the family's 1533-position model. The record is from RNAcentral.
GACGAACGCUGGCGGCGUGCUUAACACAUGCAAGUCGAACGGAAAGGCCCUGCUUUUGUGGGGUGCUCGAGUGGCGAACGGGUGAGUAACACGUGAGUAACCUGCCCUUUACUUUGGGAUAACUUCAGGAAACUGGUGCUAAUACCGGAUAGGAGCUCCUUCUGCAUGGUGGGGGUUGGAAAGUUUCGGCGGUUGGGGAUGUACUCGCGGCUUAUCAGCUUGUUGGUGGGGUAGUGGCUUACCAAGGCUUUGACGGGUAGCCGGCCUGAGAGGGUGACCGGCCACAUUGGGACUGAGAUACGGCCCAGACUCCUACGGGAGGCAGCAGUGGGGAAUAUUGCACAAUGGGCGGAAGCCUGAUGCAGCAAAGCCGCGUGCGGGAUGACGGCCUUCGGGUUGUAAACCGAUUUCGACUGUGACGAAGAGUGAGUGACGGUAAUGGGUAAAGAAGCACCGGCUAACUACGUG